CACUCGCUUUCUAAACCCUAAUUCAUUUCAUCCGCCGCUCCUCCUUCUUUCUCUCUCUGGUGAUUUUCAAUUUAGGUUUCUUGCCUCCUGUGGUAUGAGCAAGAUCUCACCAGAUCCAACAAUGGUGUGGUCUGUAAAAGUGGUCGAGGCAAGUUCCAACAACCCGAGACGAAAAUGCAGUGGUGGAGAUACACGAGCCAGAAGGAUGAAGCUUUGCAGAUCUGAGUUUUUAGCUACAUUCAAGAACGGUACAAAAACAUUCUUGCGUCAAUCAGAAUGAUGAAGCUUCGGUGUAGUUGAAAUCAGGAAACAAGCAGAGCUAGGGAAGAUGACAAGUCCGGAUCUGAUAGGUUUGCUUCGGUAUAGUUGCUAUUGGUGGAUGAAGAUGGAAAUCAGAUGAAGAUGGAAUGAUGGAGAUGACAAGCAAAACUUUGCAGAUCUGAGUUUUUAUGGUUGUAAACCCUAUAUAUUUUUACGAAUCUUCUAAUUUGUUUUUGAAUUUUUUGAUAUUUUUCAGUUGUUUAGUGGAUGAUUGUGGCAUUAGGUUCACCUGUGAUUUCUUGUAUAUUGAAGGCUAUGAUGAUCCAACUCUUCGUUUUAGCAGGCCUGUUAACUUCAUAUGCCCAUCUUUAUUUGUCAUUAGUUUAGUUUUGAAUGGAUUAAUUGUUGAUUUCAUGGUGCAAGUUAAGAUGCACGUGCAAUGCUCUUGAUGAAGGAUAGAGAUAGGGCCACUAACCAAACUGAGUGGCCUGGCCCUUAAAAAUGAUUUUUUAUUUUUGUUUAAAAUUGUUACUAUGUAUUAAAAUGAUUAAAGCGACUUCAUUGGUAUGAUACGUUCACAAACCUUCAUGGUUUAAAAACGAAAAAGAUAUAUAAAUAAUAAAGGUUCAGCGGAUGGUUCCAAGUCCUAAUUUGUUAGUUCCGUGACCCGACCCGACCCAUCCAGAAAUUUCUAAUGUAUGGUUGUGAAAACUUUGACCACCACAAAAGUGAACCCAUAGAAAAAAAUUCUCGGAUCCGCCACUGGGUAGGAUGGGCGGGGCGGGUCGGGUGACCCAUAAACACUUGUUACCCAUUUUAAUUUUUUCUUUAAAUAGCUUAUUUGUAGAUUAUGAUUACAAAAAAAAAAUACCAGACGCGGGUGCCGUAAUGCCAUAGCACACGGCUGCCAUAACGCCAUAGCGCGUGGCGGCCGAAACAUAAAGAGCGGCUGCAGAAACGCAGCGGCCAAACGCAACGGGCACGGCUGCAGGUAGACUCAACAGGCACGGUUGCCAUAACGCUGCAGCUCGCGGCAUCAGAAACGCUGUUCAUGAGUAUUUCCAUUCGAGGCGAGGACAUCAAGAGAAUAACCUUCUGAACACGUUUCUUUUAAUGUUUGGGAUCUUUUUCGUGCUUGUGAUGAUCAUGUAAUACUGAUCAGAAUGUUGGGACUUUGAGUGUUUUAGUUGUUGGUUAUUGUUGGCAUCAUGUUGAUGAUAGUGUGUUCAUAUUAUGCUUUGUAAUAGCACCAGCAGCCGCACGAGGGAGCAUAUACAACUUUCUGCACAAGCAAAAUGGUUCAUUUAAGCUUCCUUUGUUACUGAAGAUAGCAAUCGAUAUAUCCAAAGGCAUGAGUUACCUGCAUCAAAACAAUAUUAUCCACAGGGACGUGAAAACCGCCAAUCUUCUGAUGGAUCAGCACGACGUUGUGAAAUUGCUGAUUUUGGAGUUGCAAGGGUGCAGACUGAAUCUGGAGUAAUGACGGCAGAAACCAGAACAUACAGGUGGAUGGCACCCGAGGUAUGACUGUGUUUAUAACUUUAUAUAUGUUCAUGUCUUUACAAAUGGCUCCAUAUACAUUCGCAAUCGCACGAAUGUCCGGUUUGUAAAGCGCUAAUACAAGAGGAGAAGAUGAUUCCUCUGUAUGGCAGAGGGAAGACACAAACUGACCCGAGAUCCAAACGCAUACCCGGCGUUGAUAUCCCGCACAGGCCAGUUGGACAGAGAAACCAAACACAUGUAUUUAUUUGGGUCAAAAAAUAUCUUUAUUAAUUAUGUAGCUUAUACACGAUGCGUGUAACCCAUUCAUAUUAAACAAGUUUGGGGGGGGGGUAUAAAGCGCUUGUAAUCAAACCGAAAGCCAAACUGGUUAGCAGGUUGAACUUAUUAUAUAUAUAUAUGUGUGUGUGUGUGUGUGUGUGUGUGAUUGAUUUUAAUUGUAAAUGGAUUGAUGAUGAGUUGAUUUGUGAAAUGAAAUGAGUUAAAAUGUCAUAAUAGAACUGUAUAAUUAAUUAAACUUGUUAAAUAGACGAAUUCGAACAUGACUGGUUUAUUAAAUGGAUUAGACACAAUAACCCAAAAUUAAAUUAUUUUUUGUAUUGGUUUUAAGUCUUGUUUCAGAUUGUGCCAAAAGUUAAUAGAUCGAAAAGGCUGCUAAUCCAAGUUUAGAAGAGGUAAGCAACGAAAGACACAACGGCUGCAAGUAAAGCAGGUACCCACAACACCGUUCCAUCGCUAUCCAUUGAUGGGGAAGUCUCUGGCGCGACCCCAAGCUCCUGAGCCAUGGUUCCAGUACUGUUGAAGGCUAUGAGCACCAUAAUGGUGAGUGCAGUGGCUAGCUCGACACUUUCCAUUUCGGCGAGUGUAGAGAAAGAUAGGUUUAAUAGCUUGUACGAGUGUUGGAAUUGAAGUAGGAUUAGAGGUAGUUUAGUGGGGAUUGGUGGUGGAAUUUAACAGCUAAUAACAUUGUUAGUAUUAUUUAUAAAACAAAGCCUUUUCAUUUGAUAGGAAGUGUGUAUCAAAUUAGAAGACCUUUAAAAUAUUGAAACUGUAUCGGAAGCAUUUGAAUGAGGCAAAUGAUUCGAGUACUUCCAUUCUUCGAAAAAGAGAUGUAAUUUGAGUUUUGUUAACAAAAGUGUCUGUAAUCCACAUUGUCAUUGGCUUUUGUAACACCGUCUUUAUGAAGUUACUGAUUUAUUUUAAGUGA
Molecule: long non-coding RNA, 2968 nt
Organism: Helianthus annuus (common sunflower)
Lineage: Eukaryota; Viridiplantae; Streptophyta; Magnoliopsida; Asterales; Asteraceae
Exons: 5
Source: RefSeq, a predicted model, not a curated record